Long non-coding RNA from Prinia subflava (tawny-flanked prinia), 7311 nucleotides. RefSeq lists it as uncharacterized. The record is from RefSeq and is a predicted model, not a curated record. Lineage: Eukaryota; Metazoa; Chordata; Aves; Passeriformes; Cisticolidae. The transcript has 5 exons.
UCCUAGUAUACAUAGUUUCCUUUAUGUCCAGCCUGGCAAAUUCUGAUUACUUCUGAGAUAGGCAGCAUUAUGAAUCAGUCCGGAGUGCUUCUGCAGACAAGCACAUUCCUGCAGCACAGCUCCCUAAAAAAUCCAGAGGCAGAUGGAAAUACAGCUAAGGAGUAAUUAAAUGUGGCUGUUCCUCAAGAAACGAGCCUGUAGUAGCAGCUCAGUGGGCCCCAUUAAGCCAAGUACAAGAUGCAACUUCACAGCAUGCAGUCUGCAGUCACAGCGCACUGAAGCAGUACAGUUUCAAUUAACAUCGCCCAGAACAAUUCCCCUGCAAGAUGAAGACUGAUCCAAGAUUUCAUGUUGGAAGAUGCUUUCAAAAACUUUUGACAAGAUCUUCUGUGACUGGAGAUGAACUGGAGAUGAAUGCCAAGCUAGAUCUUCUGUGGAAACCAUCAAGAGAAAAGCAGAUCCUGAGGGAGUGGAGUGGCUGAAGAACAAGGAAUUGAUGCAUACAGAAAAGCCUUGGACAAACCUGAGGUUCAGAUAAACCAAAUCUCACUCAAACACUCUGCAGCGUCAGGACCAGUGAAUCCACCUGGCAAAUCUCCGCUUGUCCGAGGGGCUGUGCCGGCCCGGGGAUGCUCCAGCCUGGGGCUGAAGGUACCGGCUGUGGCCAGACGAUGUCACGCUAACCCCGCGGAUGCUCGGCAGCCCGCAGUUCAUCUCCCCAGCCGCAAGCACUGCAGUGGAGCUGCCUUCUGUCCUGCUGCAUUAAUGUCUUCCCAAGCUCUCCUUUUCGUACCAAUCACACAGCACAGAAGGUGCCAUUAAGGCUUUAAAAUUUAAUGAGCUCUAAUAAAACCUCUCCCUGUGAUAUACAACCCCAGAACAGGCUAUGCUGCGGGAACAUUGCAUUGUGUGGGCCCUUAUAUCUUUCCCUCCUUUCUGUUUUAACAGUGGAUUCACUUUAAUAGCAUUUCUGCAUCUUUAUGUUGUGGAGUUACUGCAGAUUAACUCCACGGAGGAAGGUAGGUGUCUGAUUCUCUGACGAGGGGUAGCUGCCCCACCCAGCCAGAGCGUUUGCAUUCCUGGCACGCCGAGAAGUGCAAACCUGCCUGAACCUUGGCUUGGCUGAAAUGAUCAUGCCUAAAUCCUGACUGAUGCCUUCCCAGCCCACGGAAAUAAACGGGAAGUCCGUCCUCCCUCCUGAUUUGACCAAGAGUUCAUCCUCUAAAUUUACAGGGUGCAAGAAGCUCUGUAAGUGUCUCUAUCCCAUAAGCUUUCUCAGCACACCAGUGUUGUUCACUGGAAACAGAUGGCACUGGUCUAAGCCCUUUCUCAGGCUGUUGCAAACCCAGACUGAACUUCAGUUUCCCAUGCAGAGCCUCCCAUGUCCUGAAAACGUGCUGUGAGCAUCCAGCUGUUAGAUCCUCAGGGGUCUGGUCUCAGAGUCUCCUGCUGAAGCUGUUCCAUGUGGCAUCAAUAAUUAAAGAUUCACUGGACCAGAGAGAAGAAGUGGAAGAUGGACUCUCCUUCCCCAUGGUCAGGACACUCGUGUGUAAUGUGGGAAAGUCAAGUUACAGGUUCCUGCUCCAGUGAACAGCUAACUAGCAGCACAAGUUGGAGCAGCUCCAACAGGAGAGGCUGAGACCCCCCCUCCCUUCCCAGGACCAUCCAGGGCCUGCUCAUUUGGGCAUUUCAAUGAAGGAAGAGAAAGAAAACCGAGAGAAACCUGCAAAUUCUUCAAGCCCCUUAACUACUGAUUAAGAGCUGAGAUGUCUCUGUGGGAAGGACCUGAGCUACCUCACAUGAAACCUGAAGGAAGAGUGGGAUCAAAAGUGUCUGUCCAACUCUGGGUCUGUCUCCAGCCUCAGCUGAAGUCAGGUUCUGGUGGAAGAGCAAAACCACAGGGUAAAUGUUUAAUGAUACCUCCCCAAGAUACACACUGAACCCAAGUGGAUAAAACACCUGGUCACCUCACCCUUGUUCUCCAUGGUUUAUUCUUGUGUCUUACCCAGUCAUUUCCUACAAGCUUUAGCCCAUUAUUUUUCUUGUACCCGUGGCAGAGGGCUGGACAGCCAGAUCUGAACUGGGACAUCUCUGGGGUGGCUGUGUGCCUCUGGGGUGAGCACAGCAACUUGUCUGCAGGUUUGCUGCUGUGCAGCACCAAACAUUGUGCACGUCUGAGGCCCACAGGCACCACCACAGCACAGACCUAGGUCUGGUUCUGUGGUGUGUCACCAUAAGUGACACCAGUCUCUAUUGUCUUUCCCCUGAUGCUUUUUUUUUAAUGACCUGGGUGUGCAAGAUCAUCCGAGGUGAUUUGAUUUUAGUCUCAGAUUGGGUUUGCUCAUUUUGCAAAAAGAAAGGGAAAAAGAAAAAGUGUUUCUUCUUGAAAUAAGCCUCCAGCAAAAGUUCUCUCAAUUCACCAGUCUCUUGCAAAAAUUUUAGAGAGGAGACAAGGUGUGGAAAGAGAGUCAGUAUUUUCUACUUGGUAUAUUUGGACAGAAAGGCAAGUGCCCAAGUCUGAAGAAGAAAACUCCAGGCUGAGUUUAAAAGCUUCCAUUUCAUACUGAGAAAACUGCAGGAGUGUCUGAAUUUAUCCAGAUCAGUAGUGGAGCUAGUGAAAAGUGUUUGCAGAUCUUCCCCAAAGGAUAUCCUUACAUCACCUCAGCUGGCUGUGACACUUGGCAGAAGUGAGUGGAGCUGCACAGGUGUUAAAACUCAAUAGAACACAGAAAACCAAGGCUCUCAUGUAAGCUCCUUGUUAGGAGCGUUUUUAGGCACCUUUAAACAUGUUUGCAAUUCCCCUGAUUUCAAGUCAAGCUCCUUGCUUAACACAUUAAAAGGCAGAAUGACUUCGCUUUGGAAGCCCUGGAGACUUCAUGAAGAAGCCGUUUGACCUCCUUGUGUCUCAAUCCAUCCAGAACAUGAGAGUGAAAAAUAAACAGCACCUCAUUAAAAAAGAAAUAGAUAGUGUGACUGACCUGAGCUUGCCUUGGUAAAUAAAUUACAAAGCCAUAAAAGUGCUUGAGGAGCUGCUUUGCCCCUUUGAAACAACUCUCUAAACACAGUGCUGGGGGUGGUGCAGAGUGAUCACUGAGGAACUCUUACCAUUAUCUGCCUGUCAAGCCCCCAUACAUUCCUCCUUGUCUGAGCUAAGCAGAAAUUACAAACCAGUGAUGAGGGGCUGCAAUAAACACCAAAAGAGACUGAUUUACCCAUGAGCUUUCCCAACUGUUCUUGCCACUCAAAAGCAUCCCAAGGUCAGAUUAAUACCUGUGUCCUUCUCUGUUCCCAAAGGACUCACCUUGAUAGUUUAGCUACUCAGGGUUUUAGAUGCUGCUGCUGUCAGUGCUGUUUGCUGGGGUGCCCUGUAUUUUCUUGGUAAAUAGCAGGGUUUGUGAGGCUGGCACAAACAGUUGGACUGGAUGGUGUUGGUGGUAAAGUGGGUGUCUUCCAACUCAGGGUAUUCUGUGAUUCUAUGAAUAAGGAGCAAAACAGCAAAGGGGUGCUGGGAGAAGGGUCAGAGGAGUGAUCUGGGAUCUUCAAGAUUAAAAGAAAUAGCCAGCCAAAGUUUGGGACUGGUAUGGGUCUCUAAGCACUGAGAUAACAGAGUUUGUCUGAAUGAAAACCAGUGCCUCUGUGUCAGCAUCAAAUCUGAGUGCAGAGUGGAAAAGUCCCAUGGAUGUAAAAGCAAACGUUGUCUCUAGAAAAGCAUUUGUAGGGAGUUCACCACAGAUGGGGAUGGGUAGUGAUAUAACAGGAUUGAAAGUGGGGAAAGGCUCCAUAUACCACACAACCAAGUGAAUCAUGAUCCCCUGGCACACCACUGCUUCAGAAACAAACCUAAUGCACAGCAUCCCAUCAAACAGAGCAAACUUCAGCUUCCUGCCCACUGCUGCCUGGAUUAUCUGCCCAUGGAUUACCUUCCCAUGACCUGAAACUCUCAUCCUGCCCAUUCCUGCAUCCCUGAAUAGCCUCUGUCUUUGGGAAUGCAACCUGCCAGGGGUCACAUGAAGAGAUUACAGCCUAGACAUUUAAGCUACAUUAACACCUGUCCCUGUGCUGUGUCCUAAAGGCAGAAUGGCAAAAGGAUAUUUCCUCCCAUGUGUAAACAGAAACCUUCCUGCUGGACCGUGGUCCCAUCGAAGGGAAGGUGUAAACUUGCUUUUCAGUAGCUGCAGAAUCAGCGCUUAACUAAUGUGGAACUGCUGAGGAGAGAUAAUUUCUUGGCAUGGCCUUGUUAUGCUACCUUUAAAUUCUUGUGUAAUUAAAAAGAAGCAAGGAAAAAACCCCAAACCACAACAAGCACCACUUUUGAUUGCUCCCCCUAUGCUUAAUGAAGUCCUAAAGAUUAGAGGAAUGUGCAGACAAGACACCUGAGCAUGGCAGACCAGAGCUUGUGGGCUGUACCCAGCCUGCUGCUGGCACUGCACACAGCCAGUGUGGCUGCAGAGGAUCUCUGAGUGAUUCAGGUCACUUAUUAUCCAGGACAGCAAGACUCAGGCUCAGAGAGUGGAGAAAAACAACCGUAGCACUUAUGUUAGGUAGCCAAAUGCCCUUUGCCCUGGGCAGAAGGUGUGAUUUUGUGUGUCCUGACACCUCCUCUGCCUUCUGCUUGCCCAUGUGAAGGGCUCUGUCACAACCAGGUGCUGUAAGAUGAGGAUGGAGUUUGCCUUUGUUUUUAACCAUCCAAGCAGCUGUGUUGUGCCUCUGAAUGAGUUUGAGAUGCAUUUGGAAAGCAGCUAAACAGUAUUCUCUGCAUUUGAGGCAAUCAUGUUUAUUAUUUAAUUUUACUGCUUAGCAUUGGAGGACAUUGUUCAUCUUGAGGGGGAAGGGGCAUUUAUUGAGAGAGGUGCAGCACUUCAGAAAGAAGAGUAAGUUAGAUUUCCACGAUAUAAAUGUUCUCCCUAUGUACAGGGCAGUGAAAGGAGCUGUUUGCUCAGGAUGAAUUAAAGUAUUUAGUUGGCCUCCUCUCCCAGCAGCUCAUCUGGGGCCAUACCCUGUGGGCUCUGUGGGCUCAGAUGGGUUUCUUGAUGCUAUCAGUAGCAGCAGCAUACCUGCAAAUGUCUUAGGGGUACAAACCUUGGCCAAGCCACCCCAGGAGCCCGUGGGGCUACCCUGACACACUCUGUUUUCCAGCUUGAGCAUUUUUGGGCAAUCUGGGUGACUUUGUGGGCAGAUUCCCUCAGGCUUAUAUGUGCUGAGCAAUAUUUAAUGGGACAUCUUGGGGAGUGAGAGGCCAUUCAGGCUGAGAGGGGACUUGGGACUGGCCGUGACUUGGAAAUAUUGUGUAUAGUUAAGAUCUGCACACUCCAGUGAGACAGUUAAUGUGGUUAAAAUCAAUGAGCUGUGCUAAUUUACCUCAGCUGAAGCCUGCAUUUCACAUGGCUUUUCAGUACUUCCUUUAAACCCUAUUAAUUCUAAUGUUUAAUUGCAAACAAACUGGAUGGUGGAUCAGUUAAAGAAAAAUCUACUGUAAAGGGUCAAGGAUUUAACCUGUACUAUCUUUGUGACUCCCAUGCAGAUCUUUCAGACCAGUUAUUUGAAUAUGUUAAAAUCUAAUUUGAAUUGUUCAUCACAUAGAACAAGGUAAGCUUUUUUUUAAUGAGAGAUGUAACUUCAGGGCACUAUUAAAUUCUAAUUAAAAAUCAGUCAAAAGCACCCUUUCCUUAGUGUUUGUGCCUGCAGCAACACUUCCACUGUGGUAUCAAAAGCUCAGUUCAUUACUUCUUAAUUAAUUUUGCCUUGAGAAGCUCUAAGUUCUCAGAGGACCUGUUGGGUUUUUAGAGUGUUGUCUACAUAGUGUUUGCUUGUACACAGCAGCCACAAUGACAUUCAGAUCAGGAAUCCUUACCCAUUUAAUCCAAUUUGAUACAAUGUCUGCAGCCUGCCAGCUUUUGGGAACCUGAAAGAUGCCUGAAGUUCACAAUACAGAGGAUAUCCUGUCCGGAGCUACUGGUAUUGUAGGGAUUUUCCCUUCUCCCUAUUCCCAGUGUGCCUAUAUUGCAGUUGAAAAGAUUGGUAUAUAGGUUGAUUGAUUUUUUAAAAUUUUAUUUAUUUUUUUUUUAAUUUUAUAUUUUUGGUGAGGAAGAUCAUGAUGAAUAGGAAACUUGUCUUGCUCCUGACCCCAAAGAAAUCUUGUCUGGAAGUACGUGUUUCUUUUUUCAUAAGGAGAGAUAAGGAUCUAAAAUAAGGAUAGAUAAGGAUCUAAGAUAAGGAUAGAUAAGGAUCUAAGAUAAGGAUCCUGCAAUCCAGAUCUCCCACUGCAAAUGAUUCAUUUCCCCUCCUGGCCUGGCUGUGUGUCUGAUGGUGGGGAGCCAGAGCUGACCAGUGCCCUGGGACAAAGAAGGGAAAAGAAGGUAAAAGGGUGGAGGAGAAUAAUCAACCCAGUCUCACGGGACAUUUUUCACUGGUUUAGGGAAUUUCCCCCAGAAGAGCUUUGGUGAUGAGCAGACAAUAAACUUGCUUGGGGUGGCUUGAACAUUUGAGCAUUCCUCAAACUCUACAAGACAAGGGUUUGGCAGGAGAGUGUGAACCAAACUUGCAAAUGUUCCUCUGAGCUGGGCCUAGAGGGGCAUGUGUAGCUGCUGUCUAUGCCAGGAGGGACCUGGAAGAUAUAAAUUUUUAUUAGGAACCUUUGUAUUAAGCCUAGUUUGCACAAGCAGACCCUGUAACUAUCAAAGGCAGUAGUUCACAUCUCCAUUCAUGUGUGUCCAAGUCUUCUUGCUGCAAGGCACAGAGUUAGAUGGGUGGGGCUGAGGGAGCUGUGGAGAAAAAACAGUAUAAAUUGGGGGUAGGGAAGGCUUAAAAUGAGAUUUUGAGGCGAUGUCAGCUUCCAGCUUUCCUCUUGGAGAAAGUGCACAGAAAAAAAGGGGGAAAAAUUAAAAAUAGAAAGAAAAAAAUCUUGAUGAGUGGAUGUGGGCAAGGUGUUUUUGAUUCUGAGGGAAGCCCCCUUCUUUCCCCAGGUUAUCCUGUCCUUUUCUUCAGCAGUGCUUCAAAGAAAGCUCUCAUUUACUCUUCUGAAAUGCUGGUUUGGGGACAGAACAAUGGCUGGAUAUUUUGCUCCUCCUCUUCUCUGCUGGUGAUGGUGAGAGGGUUAAGCAAGAAAACACACUGGACAGCUUAUAAAUUACCCUCUUAGCUCUCUCAUUUCAGAGCCUGUGCAUGCUGGCACCAGCAGAAGCAGAUCUCAAGGCUGAGGUCCUGAGCCCUGUCUGCCCCUUCCCUGUUGCCAGAGCCACACUUAACAGCAGACUGGAUGGAUGGAUGGAUGGAUGGAUGGAUGGAUGGAUGGAUGGAUGGAUGGAUGGAAGG